Triticum dicoccoides is the source of this 378-nucleotide long non-coding RNA. RefSeq lists it as uncharacterized. The record is from RefSeq and is a predicted model, not a curated record. The transcript has 3 exons. NCBI's taxonomy places the organism in Eukaryota, Viridiplantae, Streptophyta, Magnoliopsida, Poales, Poaceae.
ACAUCAUCACAGAGCCCUGCACAUCUCGCAUGCGAGGCAGUUCUGUAGGAAGCACAAGAAAGUGGGUAUGAAAGCUAUGAGACGAUGGCCAAUACAGAUAUUGACAGGGCUGGAAUAUCAUUAGAGUCCGGCGCCAACGAAUAUACAUAGCGACUUAAAGUGUGACAAUAUAUUCAUAAAUAGUCCUGAUGGAACAGUGAAGAUCGGCGACUAUAUGGUCUGGCGACAUUAUUGCAUCAAUGGAAAAAGCAAAGUGUCAAAGGCGCAUUAGACUUUAUGGCACUAGAACGCUUCACUGGCAAUACAAUGAGUUGCUUGGGUAUUCCAAUCCCCUUCGCAGCCUCUUCUGUCAAUCCAGCAGCACACCGCUGCCCUUCG